Molecule: ribosomal RNA, 484 nt
Filed under: uncultured bacterium
Lineage: Bacteria
Description: partial 16S ribosomal RNA
Rfam family: Bacterial small subunit ribosomal RNA
Source: RNAcentral
AUUGAACGCUGGCGGCAUGCUUUACACAUGCAAGUCGAACGGCAGCGCGGGCUUCGGCCUGGCUGCGAGUGGCGAACGGGUGAGUAAUGCAUCUGAGCGUCCCCAGUAGUGGGGUAUAGCCCCGCGAGAGCCGGAUUAAUACCACAUACUACCUGAUGCUGCAACCGGGGGACCGAAAGGCCUCGCGCUCUUGGAGCGGCCGAUGUCGGAUUAGCUAGUUGGUGGGGUAAAGGCUUACCAAGGCGACGAUCCGUAGCUGGUCUGAGAGGACGAACAGCCACACGGGGACUGAGACACGGCCCAGACUACUACGGGAGGCAGCAGUGGGGAAUGUUGGACAAUGGGGGCAACCAUGAUCCAGCGAGGCCGCGUGCGGGAAGAAGGCCUUCGGGUUGUAAAAAGCUUUUGUGCGGGAAGAAAUCCUCUGGGCUAAUACCAAGGGGGGAUGACGGUACCGGAAGAAUAAGCACCGGCUAACUACGUG